GACGAACGCUGGCGGCGUGCUUAACACAUGCAAGUCGAACGAAGUGGCGAACGGGUGAGUAACGCGUAAUCAACCUGCCCUUCAGAGGGGGACAACAGUUGGAAACGACUGCUAAUACCGCAUACUGAAGGAGGGGAUUGCGUCUGAUUAGCUAGUUGGAGGGGUAACGGCCCACCAAGGCGAUGAUCAGUAGCCGGUCGGAGAGAAUGAACGACCCCCUUGGGACUGAGACACGGCCCAGAGUCCUACAUAAGCCACCAAGGAUAAAUCUGCCGCAAUGGACGAAAGUCUGACGCAGCAACGCCGCGUGAGUGAUGACGGCCGUCGGGUUUUAAAUCUCUGUUAAUCGGGACGCGGUACCGGAAUAGAAAGCCACGGCUAACUACGUGCCAGCAGCCGCGGUAAUAC
RNAcentral lists this ribosomal RNA (408 nucleotides) under uncultured bacterium. Its description in RNAcentral is "partial 16S ribosomal RNA". It matches the Rfam family "Bacterial small subunit ribosomal RNA", at positions 28 to 526 of the family's 1533-position model. The record is from RNAcentral.